AACGAACGCUGGCGGCAUGCCUAACACAUGCAAGUCGAACGACACCUUCGGGUCUAGUGGCGCACGGGUUCGUAACGCGUGGGAACCUGCCCUUAGGUUCGGAAUCACUCCCCGAAAGGGGUGCUAAUACCGGAUAAUGUCUUCGGACCAAAGAUUUAUCGCCUUUGGAUGGGCCCGCGUUGGAUUAGCUAGUUGGUAGGGUAAAAGCCUACCAAGGCGACGAUCCAUAGCUGGUCUGAGAGGAUAAUCAGCCACACUGGGACUGAGACACGGCCCAGACUCCUACGGGAGGCAGCAGUGGGGAAUAUUGGACAAUGGGCGAAAGCCUGAUCCAGCAAUGCCGCGUGAGUGAUGAAGGCCUUAGGGUUGUAAAGCUCUUUUACCCGGGAUGAUAACGACAGUACCGGGAGAAUAAGCUCCGGCUAACUCCGUG
Molecule: ribosomal RNA, 433 nt
Filed under: uncultured bacterium
Lineage: Bacteria
Description: partial 16S ribosomal RNA
Rfam family: Bacterial small subunit ribosomal RNA
Source: RNAcentral